RNAcentral lists this long non-coding RNA (211 nucleotides) under Elaeis guineensis (African oil palm). Its description in RNAcentral is "long non-coding RNA (EGUI_LNC038944)". The record is from RNAcentral. Lineage: Eukaryota; Viridiplantae; Streptophyta; Magnoliopsida; Arecales; Arecaceae.
UUGGCUGAGAUAGGUUGGCAAUGUGCGAGCUAUAGUAGGUCGUUCACAACCAAGAUCAUGGAGGCUGUAGGGUCCAUAUCGAUCUCAAGCAAUGUGGAGUAGAUUGGCGGAGGACAAUCUAAAAUGGAUCGACUGAAGCCGAGGAGUCGAGAACCACUGGUGAUGGGGUGCGUCCGAUGGCCUUCAUCUCUGUCACAUCUAUAUACCUACC